AUACGGAGGAUGCGAGCGUUAUCCGGAUUUAUUGGGUUUAAAGGGUGCGUAGGCGGUUUUUUAAGUCAGCGGUGAAACGCAAGGGCUCAACCCUUGACCUGCCGUUGAAACUGGAGGACUUGAAUGCGGAUGCUGUGGGAGGAAUGUGUGGUGUAGCGGUGAAAUGCAUAGAUAUCACACAGAACACCGAUUGCGAAGGCAUCUCACAAAUCCGUGAUUGACGCUGAGGCACGAAAGUGUGGGGAUCAAACAGGAUUAGAUACCCUGGUAGUCCACACUGUAAACGAUGAUGACUCGCGGUCGGCGAUAUACAGUCGGUGGCCAAGCGAAAGCGAUAAGUCAUCCCCCUGGGGAGUACGACCGCAAGGUUGAAACUCAAAGGAAUUGACGGGG
RNAcentral lists this ribosomal RNA (393 nucleotides) under uncultured bacterium. RNAcentral describes it as "partial 16S ribosomal RNA". It matches the Rfam family "Bacterial small subunit ribosomal RNA", at positions 523 to 918 of the family's 1533-position model. The record is from RNAcentral.